RNAcentral lists this RNase P RNA (447 nucleotides) under Planctomycetota bacterium. Its description in RNAcentral is "RNase P RNA component class A". It matches the Rfam family "Bacterial RNase P class A". From Rfam's summary of the family: Ribonuclease P (RNase P) is a ubiquitous endoribonuclease, found in archaea, bacteria and eukarya as well as chloroplasts and mitochondria. Its best characterised activity is the generation of mature 5'-ends of tRNAs by cleaving the 5'-leader elements of precursor-tRNAs. The record is from RNAcentral. Lineage: Bacteria; Pseudomonadati; Planctomycetota.
GGAGUGGGCAAGGCGAUCGCCCGUGGGCUUAGCCUGCGGGAGGAAAGUCCGGACUGGGCAGGGCACGGUGAUUGGUAACGCCAACCCGGCGCGAGCCGAGGGAAAGUGCCACAGAAAAGACACCGCCACGCAAUCGUCGAAACGAGAAAACGUCGAAACAAACCGGUUUCGAUAUUUUCAACCUUUUGACGUUUGCGUCGGUAAGGGUGAAAAGGUGCGGUAAGAGCGCACCGCGCGGCCGGUGACGGUCGUGGCAAGGUAAACCCCACCGCCAGCAAGCCCAAAUAGGCAGCGAGAGGCGGCCCGUCUCGCGGAUCGAUUCAAUCGUGAUUCGAUCUGAAGCUGCGGGUAGGGUGCUCGAGCCGACGGGCGACCGUCGGCCUAGAUAAAUGAUCGCCACGCCGUGCAAGCGGCGGACAGAAUCCGGCUUACUCGCCCGCUUCGUCU